This 24-nucleotide ribosomal RNA is filed under the name Parazoanthus swiftii. Its description in RNAcentral is "partial 18S ribosomal RNA". Lineage: Eukaryota; Metazoa; Cnidaria; Anthozoa; Zoantharia; Parazoanthidae. The record is from RNAcentral. RNAcentral also lists the same sequence under 3 other names.
AGGAUCAUUACCGUUGCCAUACAA